GGGUUGUGAGGUUAAGCGACUAAGCGUACACGGUGGAUGCCCUGGCAGUCAGAGGCGAUGAAGGGCGUGCUAAUCUGCGAUAAGCGCCGGUAAGGUGAUAUGAACCGUUAUAACCGGCGAUACCCGAAUGGGGAAACCCAGUGUGACUCGUCACACUAUCAUUAACUGAAUCCAUAGGUUAAUGAGGCGAACCGGGGGAACUGAAACAUCUAAGUACCCCGAGGAAAAGAAAUCAACCGAGAUUCCCCCAGUAGCGGCGAGCGAACGGGGAGGAGCCCAGAGCCUGAAUCAGCAUGUGUGUUAGUGGAAGCGUCUGGAAAGGCGCGCGAUACAGGGUGACAGCCCCGUACACAAAAGCGCAUGUGCUGUGAGCUCGAUGAGUAGGGCGGGACACGUGGUAUCCUGUCUGAAUAUGGGGGGACCAUCCUCCAAGGCUAAAUACUCCUGACUGACCGAUAGUGAACCAGUACCGUGAGGGAAAGGCGAAAAGAACCCCGGCGAGGGGAGUGAAAAAGAACCUGAAACCGUGUACGUACAAGCAGUGGGAGCCCCACCACCAAAGCAUUCUCUGGUGUUGAAGGCCCUGCAAAGCAGCAUCGCGGUGGCGGAGCGUCGUUUGCGACGCCCAACACACAAAACAAGCGGUGAGUGCUUUGGGGUGGGGUGACUGCGUACCUUUUGUAUAAUGGGUCAGCGACUUAUAUUCUGUAGCAAGGUUAACCGAAUAGGGGAGCCGGAGGGAAACCGAGUCUUAAUUGGGCGUUAAGUUGCAGGGUAUAGACCCGAAACCCGGUGAUCUAGCCAUGGGCAGGUUGAAGGUUGGGUAACACUAACUGGAGGACCGAACCGACUAAUGUUGAAAAAUUAGCGGAUGACCUGUGGCUGGGGGUGAAAGGCCAAUCAAACCGGGAGAUAGCUGGUUCUCCCCGAAAGCUAUUUAGGUAGCGCCUCGUGAAUUCAUCUCCGGGGGUAGAGCACUGUUUCGGCUAGGGGGCCAUCCCGGCUUACCAACCCGAUGCAAACUGCGAAUACCGGAGAAUGUUAUCACGGGAGACACACGGCGGGUGCUAACGUCCGUCGUGAAGAGGGAAACAACCCAGACCGCCAGCUAAGGUCCCAAAGUCAUGGUUAAGUGGGAAACGAUGUGGGAAGGCCCAGACAGCCAGGAUGUUGGCUUAGAAGCAGCCAUCAUUUAAAGAAAGCGUAAUAGCUCACUGGUCGAGUCGGCCUGCGCGGAAGAUGUAACGGGGCUAAACCAUGCACCGAAGCUGCGGCAGCGA
RNAcentral lists this ribosomal RNA (1280 nucleotides) under Salmonella enterica subsp. enterica serovar Infantis. RNAcentral describes it as "partial 23S ribosomal RNA". It matches the Rfam family "Bacterial large subunit ribosomal RNA", at positions 1 to 1211 of the family's 2925-position model. The record is from RNAcentral. Lineage: Bacteria; Pseudomonadati; Pseudomonadota; Gammaproteobacteria; Enterobacterales; Enterobacteriaceae. RNAcentral also lists the same sequence under 2 other names.